AUUUUCGUCUCAAUUUCACUGUAUAUAAACCUAAGUCUCAAAGACUAUUGGUAUCAGUUAAAAAAUGAAAUUCACAUUGUUAGCAGUUUUAGCUCUUUUGAGCACAUUCAUGAUGACAGGAGUCGUUGCCGAUUCUUGCCGAAAAGAAGGACAGAGUUGCAGUCGAAACAGGCAGUGCUGUAGCAAUAAUUGCAAUCAAAAAAGAGGAGUGUGCAAGUAAACAUCAUCACGAGAUGAUAAUAUUUUAAGAUGUUAAUGGUAUAUAGAUCGUCGCAAGUUUCAAAUGACUAAACUCUACACUACUAAUGAAUGUUCAACAUCCAAAACCGCUGACAAUUUUUUUUGUUGCCAAAAAAUUGUUAAUAAAUCAACUCUGUAUUAAUUUUUUUUAAUAACUGUUAUAAUAUCUUACAUGUACACUAAAGAAAAUAAAUAUUCCUUUACGCAUUAA
Molecule: long non-coding RNA, 451 nt
Organism: Leptopilina boulardi
Lineage: Eukaryota; Metazoa; Arthropoda; Insecta; Hymenoptera; Figitidae
Exons: 2
Source: RefSeq, a predicted model, not a curated record